This 465-nucleotide ribosomal RNA is filed under the name Vreelandella stevensii. RNAcentral's name for it is "partial 16S ribosomal RNA". It matches the Rfam family "Bacterial small subunit ribosomal RNA", at positions 338 to 795 of the family's 1533-position model. Lineage: Bacteria; Pseudomonadati; Pseudomonadota; Gammaproteobacteria; Oceanospirillales; Halomonadaceae. The record is from RNAcentral.
CCUACGGGAGGCUGCAGUGGGGAAUAUUGGACAAUGGGGGGAACCCUGAUCCAGCCAUGCCGCGUGUGUGAAGAAGGCCCUCGGGUUGUAAAGCACUUUCAGUGAGGAAGAACGCCUGGUGGUUAAUACCCAUCAGGAAAGACAUCACUCACAGAAGAAGCACCGGCUAACUCCGUGCCAGCAGCCGCGAUAAUACGGAGGGUGCGAGCGUUAAUCGGAAUUACUGGGCGUAAAGCGCGCGUAGGUGGCUUGAUAAGCCGGUUGUGAAAGCCCCGGGCUCAACCUGGGAACGGCAUCCGGAACUGUCAAGCUAGAGUGCAGGAGAGGAAGGUAGAAUUCCCGGUGUAGCGGUGAAAUGCGUAGAGAUCGGGAGGAAUACCAGUGGCGAAGGCGGCCUUCUGGACUGACACUGACACUGAGGUGCGAAAGCGUGGGUAGCAAACAGGAUUAGAUACCCGAGUAGUC